AACGUAGGACACAAGCGUUAUCCGGAGUUACUGGGCGUAAAGGGCGUGUAGGCGGAGAUGUAAGUCUAUUCUGAAAGCUCCUGGCUAAACUGGGAGAGGCGAAUGGAGACUGCAUAUCUAGAGUGAGGAAGAGGAAAGUGGAAUUCCGCGUGUAGUGGUGAAAUGCGUAGAUAUCUGGAGGAACAUCAGUGGCGAAGGCGACACCCUGGACUCAUACUGACGCUGAGGAGCGAAAGCCAGGGGAGCAAACGGG
Molecule: ribosomal RNA, 253 nt
Filed under: uncultured bacterium
Lineage: Bacteria
Description: partial 16S ribosomal RNA
Rfam family: Bacterial small subunit ribosomal RNA
Source: RNAcentral